Passer domesticus (house sparrow) is the source of this 10742-nucleotide RNA transcript. It is a transcript of the gene named phospholamban, with no coding region annotated. The transcript has 7 exons. NCBI's taxonomy places the organism in Eukaryota, Metazoa, Chordata, Aves, Passeriformes, Passeridae. The record is from RefSeq and is a predicted model, not a curated record.
CUGGUAACGGCAGGUAACAGCUGGCCCGGCCCCGUUCAACUCCCGCCUCUAACAGUUGCUUUGCAGAGAAAGAAAGGUUUCCCUUCACGUGUGUGCACUUAAAAUACAGAAUACAGGAAUAUAAUUCUGGCUAAAUUGUAAGAGAACAAAACCUUCACAAGUAACAGGUUUCAGGCUUUCUACUGAUUUUCACAAAAGCCAGGCUUCAUGUGUCACAACAAAACUGAGGGCAACAACUGAACUAAAUAUGAACCAACAACAUCAUGGUUUGGAAGAAAAGUAAAAAACUGGGACAUUUAAUCAAGAAAGCAUUUAUUACAGAUAUUUGCAUCAGGAAUUCAGCACCACAAUGUUUUAAAUUUCAUCUGAAAUUACAACAAACUGUAUUAAGAUCAAGACAUAUGAUCAACAAUUAAACUCUUAUUACCACAAACACAGAUUUUUUAAAAAAGGAAAAAAAGACAAGGAUACUCUACAAAGAGUGGCAAGUGGAGGACUUAAUAAAGUUGCCUUCGUGGGGAUUGGAAGAUCAAACCAAGUUCUCUACUUAAACAGUCCCAUGAAGAGUUAGUGACAUCUGCGUCCAUCAGAGCACUGCACAAUGAAUUUUUCCCAGACAGAACUAGCAGUUUUAGCCAGCAAACCAAACAGUACAGCACAUGGACCUACUGUGAAGAUUAAAUUGUUUCAAGAAAGGAUUCUACCACCAUCCAUGUACAGCAUCACAUAUAAGAUAUAUCAUCCUGCAGACAUUUCAGUCACUGGCCCCAGAAUUUUGAAAAAUAAAAAAAGGAAAUUUUUUUUUUUUUUUAACUCACAAGGAGAUACCAUGUACUUGCAUGACUCUGAAUUUUAGAUGCAUUUACAGAGGCUCUGUACCUCUGGCAAAUCAGAUCCUGGAAUCUCAAAAGUCAGACAUUUGAAAAUCCAAGCCUGAAACAUCUGCAUCACUCAUAAUCAGAAUAAAUGUUGUUAAUUUGACACUGUACUGCGUGUGAAAGCAGCAACCACACAACCUUGGAAGGUAGUCACAUAACUUGUGUGUGGAGUAAGUGACGGAUAUUUGAACUGUUUGGCUUCAAUCCAGAUUGAACCUUUUCCACUUGAGUUUAUGAGGGGUACUUGAAACACACUUGUCUCUAGCAAAAGCAGCAGUAUGAUGUAAGGGUGCAUCCAAACAUCCGUGUCAGUGUGUGAAGGUGUUUUCCUUCCUUACAAGAUAAACUCGGGGGAGCCCUAGCACCUUCUUUAUAUAGGCAGAAAAGGCAGAAGUUCACACUAAAAAAAUAAAUAUCACUUUCAUCACCUGCAAUUAGUACUCAUCACCUGUAGGUCUCCAGGUUUCUUACAAAGAAACUAGACUUACUCAACAGAGAGGAAACUCAGACAAGAACAAAGACAAUUGGUCUCUUCAAAGAGCAUCAAAACACAGCAGAUUCUAUAGUGUGGAAACCAUCUUGUCAGCAAAAUACUGGUCUUAACAAAUACAAAUGAGAUGAUCUCUACCUAAAGAAAAAUAAAUAUGUGUUGACUGAAGUAGGCUCAUUUAGAAGGUGGGAAAAUUCAUGUUUCAGAAUGAACUACUUUUGUUUUCAUUUUCUAAUUCAUAGAGAUGUCAGUAAUAAUAAUGUUAUACCAAGUACUCACAUAACCAAUUGAUACAGAAGACUGUAGUUCAAAACCACAGAGCAAAUUAAUUUUCAAUAAAUGCCACAAAAAGAGGAAAAAAGCAAAUAGUUUCUUCUAUUAAGAAUGGAGUCAUAAAAGCAGGAAAAAAGCUAAAAGCUCUCCACAUCACCUCAGUGGCCAGGAAGCUACAGACAAAACAGUCUGGACACUACACUUGACAAAGCUUCUGGGCUCCACCGACUGACAAUGGAACUUCCAUGAGAAAGCAGCUGCUUGAAACAGAAUACAUAGUAAAAAAAUAUCUGCAAGACCAGGAAAUCUCUUCUUGCUACUCAGAGCUGGUCUGAACCAAGGAGUAGAACCAUGUCUGUAUCUGGCAUAUUCUGCAACAAAUAAAGAAAAAUACGAAGUUCUGUACCUCAAAUUCUCAGGUAAUGAAAUUCAGGAUCCUAACUUUCUGGGGUGCUUUUUUGCUGAAUGUUUUUUCCCCUGUUUUAACUAUGAACUGCAUGAAGCAAAGACACAGAGCAAUAGAUAGCUGAUACUCAUCAUGAGAACUUGUCUUGUUUAUAGUCGCUCAAUAAAAGGAAGGGGAAAAAAACCUCCAAACUUCAGACAAUGGACAAAACAAAUGAAGAAAAGACACACAUCAUUCUUUAACACCAAGCAAAAGAAAGAAAGGUGUUGCUGGCUCCCACUUCUCAAAGUAGAGCCAUGUGAAAACUAGCCUGAAAACUCUUUAAAAACCUGAUUUAUGCCAUCUCCAUGUUGAUUUGAAUGAAGAGUCCCAUGAGGCAAGGUCCCCAUUGAGGCCACUGGUCUACCUGCUGCCCCUCCACACUACCUGAGGGUGAUCACUGCAACUAUCUGCACAAGAGAAUCUUACAACUUCUAAAUUAUGCCAAAACUUUUCUCAUUUGGGCAAUAUUUAUGCAUUUCUGUUAGGACAACUUUCAGCUGAAGUAGCAGCAAAAGCUCAAGCCCAAUCAUUUCUCCUCAAAUCUGCAGUUAUGCUUUCAAGUGGAGAUAAUCCAGCACCACCACUUGGCAACUGAAACGUGGUCUUCCAACUUUAUCUCUCCUUCAUGUGCCUUUGUCCCGCUGUUCAUCUAUCACUCACAACAUGUCAAAUAACACAACUAAUCUCUGUGCUUCCCAGAACAGUUUAUCUGAAAGACACUCAACAGAGUUUCUUAGGUAUAAGGAUCUCGGCACACCAACUAAGGCACAUUGUUCAGCUUAACCAGUUGAGGACACCAGUAAGCACUAAAUACAGUGUUCCCAGGCGUUUCAUAGAAAUAAAGAACCUUCCCUGUAAUGAAGAUCAUUGAAUUUCCUAUCCUGUCUCAUGUUGCUAUUUUGAAGACACUGAACCAUUGAAGAUAACUGCUACUAGUAAAUUAUUUGACCUUCAUUAACCUAGUAAAAAGGUAAACUUCAUCACUGUGAAAGCCACCAGGUGUUUACAAGAACACAGCUUUUUGUGCAGUCAAUAUUUAGUUGCAAAAGAAACCACCUACAUGGGUCAAAUCUGUGCUAUUAGUAUUGUCUCCACAAGAAAUAAGUGUUUCCUAACAGCAUUUGGGAAGAGGAAGGACACAGCCGAUUUUCAGAGCGAGAGCCAGGCAAAACUUCUUGUUUCCCUUCUCUUCUAACACCGGUUCAAAGCACCAAAAACAAUAAACAGGCGUGCCACACUUCUGCACCCUGUGAUCUACUUUAAUAGUGUAAGGUUUGUGCCAGUAACAGCAACUGAAACAAAAACAUUCAAGAUGACCUUUCAAAAAAUGUCUCUGGUCAGUAACAAAUCUGAUGACUAGUACCACCAGAGCAUUCACCAUUCCCAAAAAGAGAAGUAUUUCAGACCAAGUUUUCUAUUAAUUUAUUUUGUAUUUUUUCCUAAUCACUUCGUAAUGGUACACUUUAUAAGCUGCUGCCUCAAAAAGUAAUUUCAUCUUGCUUGUAAAGAAGAAAAAAAUGUGAAGACCAAACUAAUUUAACAUCUGUCCAAUGGUUAGGAAAAGUAAAUACAUCUUGUCCCAGAGGAAAAUAACAUGAUGCAAAGCCUAGAUUUCUCAGCAGAGCUGUCUCCUACAACACUAACAAAGACCGUAAUUCUCACGAUACAAAAGCAGGAACACCUGCAGCCUCCGAAAGGCAAAUUCCUCCACCUAAAUCCAGAAAAUAGAUAAUGAGACUACAAAUGUGAGUGAGAUUCACUUAAGUCAGAUAAUCAUUAAAGGAGGCAUCAGGUAAAACAUAGAAGCAAACGAGUUCUAAGUCGAUCAAAUUCAAGUAAAAAAUCUUAAAUGCAUUUUAAAAGUUAUCUCUCAACUGAUUAGGCUGUAACCCUAUCUGGUGUGGUUCUGGAAUGCUAUUCACAUCAGCACUGAAAAUACUGAUUUUUCUGUACUUCUGAAGGAGGGAAAACUCACAUUUUCCUUUAGGGUGUAUUAGGUUCACAGCACAAAUGUAACGGAAGGAUACAUUAGCUGGGUUCUUUCUCUUUAGGGAAUCUUAAAAAUGGUCCUGCAAGCCACAUCUGCUAAUACCUGAAUGUUUACAAGCAAUUACCCAUCACAGAACUACUGGUUAUAAAAAGGAAAGAUCUCAUUUUAGAGUUCAGCUUCAAUACCAAAUUCUGCUACUCUCCCACAUACACACAAAUUAAUGCACAUUUGUGGGAGCAUUCACAUCUCCCUUCUGUGUGUUUUUUGUUACUGUUAAACCAAACGUGCCAACACAAGAACUUCUGCUGUGUGAGAUCACACAGGCACUUUUGCAGCGUGAGAGAAAACUGCAACAGCAUAAUGAAAAAACUCACUAACUCCAGGACUCCAUUGCUGAAUUUCUUUCCCUGUAUAUUAUAAACAAUUGGACUUGGGUUGCAGUCUAUUUCUAUACAGAGUCAUGAUUAUCAAUGGACCAGACAGUGACACAUUAAACUCUUUACAGAUUAUACAGGUGGCCAGUGUCUACAAGUGGAAUUUUGAAAACUAGCACAAGAAAGGCAAAAAUAAUCCAGGAAAUUGUUACCAAUGUGAAUAGAAGUCUCACAAUUAUUAUUUAAAUAAAGGAGCUUGUAUGCUGAAGUACAACACAUCUCUUUUUAGACAUUAUCCCAAACAUCAACCGGAUCUCUAAAUAAUUUCUGAGAAGAAACAUGUUCUAGUGGUAGAUUCCUAAUCCCCCUGGAGAAAGCCCAGAUCAUCUCCAUUUAAGGUCAAGAAGGCAACAGCUGCACAUUUUUGUUCAGCAGACUAAAGCCUUCAACACAGAUUCCUUUUUUAAAGCUUUUCCUUUCUCAUAUCCACGGGUGUCUGGAUCUGUUCACCCAGGAGUGAAUGAAAACAGUACAAUGAUGUGCUCAUAUGUCGUGUCUCUACUUGUCAGACGUGACAUGUCCCAUAAGCAGUACUUUGGCAUCUGCCUCAGAAUCCCACCAAAACCUCCAAGAGUUACAUGAGGGAAUACAUCUAACCUGAACCAGAAAAAUGUUCUCAAGAGAGUGUUCCUAAACAAGCUUAUUUUUAGAGAAACAACAUUAAUACAACAUCUACCAACAUUCAUUUGGUCUGAACUUGUACAUAUUACUGCUAUUUGGCGAAUACAUUUUCCAUCUUAAAAUUCUUAUCCGAGUUGAUAUUGAGAGAAGAUGUGUAUUAUGCUUCUCAUGAAAUCCUAGUAUUUUUUCAGUGCCUUAAUUUGUACAUUUAAGUAUCACUUUAAAAUGGAGACCAAGCUAUGACUCUGUCAGCUCACAAACAAAACCAAAUUCUCUUAAGGUACCUCAUUUCUAAAAAGCUCCAAUUCAUUAACAAAAAAAAAAAGCCAAGAAUUUGGGGUAGUGUAACUAAAUAACAUGACAAUUUUACAUCAAUUUUGUUAAAGGGAGGAACGGCACUGCAGCUGUUGCAAUGCUGGGUGUUGGACUUCAUAACAAAAUAUAGAGGGUGAAUUUCAAUAGUACAAGUUUCAUAAAAAAGGCAAACAAUCCAAUGCUAGCACUUCUCUUGGAUGACAGCAUACAAUAAAAACAUGGAACUUCUCUCAUAAAAAAAGCCGAAUACAGUUUGCUUGACUGUGAGAGAUUUAUAACAUUAAUAAUGCCAUUAUAAGUAAAUUAUGAAACACUUUGCACCAGUAAAGAACCAUCACUCCUCACUGUAAAGAUAUUCAAUUAACUUUCAACUGAAAUAUGUGACCCCAGACUUCCUGGGUUUGAUACUAAAGGACAACUGAAAGCAGGCGGAUUUAUGAUACCAAAACCAAGCUGCUAACUUCAACUGUGAUAUAACCAAUUUGCAGAAGAGCUAUUUACAAAAAUAAAAACAGAGCUCAACUUGAAACAGGGUUGUACAUCACCCCCAAAGCCCUUCUGUCUCUGGUUUGAACGAUGUACUGCAGCAGGGCUUCCAGGGAACAAAAAACCCAAACUAAACCAAAAAACCCACCCUGUCUGGAUUCCUGCUUAAAGCCAAGCACUCAUCUAUGCUAAACAAUUAUUGUCAAAAGUGAAUCUCUAAGUGUUCAGAGUUUGGCUCAGUUUCUGUAUUUUUGCCUGCAAUUUACCAAUGAGGAAAAGGCCUGUGCUGUCAGUUGUAUCCACAAAGAAAGCCUGAUGCUGGAUGCUCUCACUUGACAGCUUAAUCCUUUUGCAUCCAGUAAAUCCUUCACUUCCCCAGUGCACAAAACCUACUCUGCAUAUGCACUAUGUUGCCGCUUUUCAACACAGGAAAGUACACAUAAGAUAACCUGUAAAGUAGCAUCAAGCUACUACCCCUAUCGAAACAAAGAGAAAGGGUUCUCAGAAGAUUCACUUAAAUAAUUUCCAGCCACAGAAAGUGGGAGAGGAAGAAAAAAAUGUGGAAGUGUGUUUUAAAGGAGAGAUAAAUACUUCAAAGUAUAUAGUAAUGAUAAAUUUCAGAGAUGAACUUACAUAUGUCAAAUUUGGGGAAAAAAAUCCUCUAACCUCACCCAUUACUGUUUGGAAGAGACAUGAAACACAGAAAAGUUAUUUCAGUUUAAGCACUGUGAGAAGAAAAUAUUAUCUUGGGGAGCAUUCAUCAUACACUAUAAACUGAAUACCAGCUAUGUAACUAUAUAUUAUUGAAAGUGUAGUUUAAAAAAUAUCUUGGACAAAAGAAAAUCAUUCCAAAUCAAACACCCACAAGAAAUGUGUUAGCGUUCAGUAUUUAGGUUUCCUAACAAAGAAGAAACAGAAGUAGCAAAAGUAACACAUCCAAAGCAGUUCCCUGAGUAAGUUCCCAUUUAAGUUCCUGUUUAAAAAAAGGCAGUGGCAGGGAACAGCUCCCUUUGCUACCCUACUGAAGCAUGCAGCUUCCCAGAUUCCUUCAUCCUGUGAUUGAGCAGGUGGUCUCCCUGGCACACAGGUCCUUUCACAAAAGGAGAGGUGCUGCCCACAUUUAAUACAUUACUGCUGGGAACAAGUUUAGAGGAGCCACUGCCCGUGUCAGAAGGCAAAUGGGACCAAUCAACUUGUGAGCUGCUGAGUGACACCGUGAGUCCUGCCUCUGAAACUUUUGUUAUUUUUUCCCCUCAGCCUACUUCAAUUGUUUCCACAACUUGGUCACAGACUCGGAAAAGUUGCCAGAGAUCUACAGGCACGUCCCACAGCCUGCAGCAAGCUCAUCUGUGCUUCACUGUCACAACAGGGAACACCAAAAACAUCAAAGCUACUCAGAAGGAAGAUUGCAGAAAGGGGGAAAAAAUUAACUGAAGUGUGAGUGUUCCCCUAUGCUCUCUGAAACACGUAUGACACUUCAGUACAAAACAGACAAAAGGUGGGUGACAGCGCCAUGGAGGAUUAACAAGCAAGGUAUUGGAGAAAAAAGGCUUGUAGGAGUAUCCAGAAUACUUUUCCAGAAAAAAACCCAAACAACUAGUUAUUUUAAGCAUACCAUUUUUUGCUUAAGUAGCAGACACUAAAAACCAGGGAAAGAGCUAUGGACACAAUGAACUUCAUGUGAACCUACACGGCUUACUAAUGAAGGAGCAGCCCUAAGCUACAAUUAAAAGUCUGCUGCAGGCACAAGAGGGCAGACUGAUGCACAUUAUGGAUCUUGCCAACAACAGAGGUCUCAACCUGCUACUUAACUUUCUGCUCAUUGUCUUGGUUCUAGUGCUCGCAUUUAUCUUUGUGAAGCUGAUGUGAACCUCAGCAAGGCCCUGCUCCCUUCUCAGAUUUGGCCCUGUGGAUUCUGCAAUGAUAAUGUAGACACUUUAGACUACCUGAAUAUAAGUAUGUGAAGACUGCAGAGGCUGAAAUAUCUGACAGUUACAGAGAAUGUGUUCACACCCAAAUUUAUCAGAAAGCAAUCCUAAGAGCUGUGCUCAAGCUGUGCACCUGCCAUUGAGUGAAGAAAGCACUUACAGCCUUGCCAAGUACCUGAAGAAACCCAAGAAUGCAUCAGCAGAUACUGUAGUUUCUCAUUGCUACAUAAGCUGAUUCUUAUUUAAAGAUCUACAAAUUAUUGUCAGCAUUCAAGGAACAAAAUUUCUGCAAAAAGGGGAUAGCAGAAAUCAAAUUUUUAAAACAGAACUUCUGUAGAACAUAUACUUAAUGGGAAAUGACAGCAGGAAGGCAAAUCAAAAUGCCAGCUUUGAGCUGACAGCACACAUCAAAUUACCUGUGGAGAGAAAAGCACAGAUGCUGUGAAUGGAAACAAAAAUAGCCCUGAAAAGCAACUUGCAGUAGCAGAGAUGGGGAUAAGUGAAGGUCAAAUAUGAAAACAUUAUUAUUUAGACCUUUUUUUGACCACCUGUGGUUCAUUGCAACACCCUAAAAGCAAGAAGCCUUCUGUUAUCCAUCAUAUCAAAAGAAGCAUCUGUCAAAACAACUAAAAAACAAAGGGCCAUUACCCAGGGUUAUCAUAACUCUGGCCAGGAAACCCUUAGCACCAGCACAUGCACCAGCAGUAGGCACAGCUGCACCGACCCAAGAUGCAUUACAGCCUCAGUAAGGGGAUUUACCACUUAUGCUCAGGUCAAGUGAGCAGUGUGGGAGCCCUCCAGCCGUAUUUGACAUACCACUUGUUACUUGCCAGUGCAAUCAUCAGCCCAUAGCCUGUCCUCACCUCUAAGCAUGCAGCAAAAACUUCUUACAGGACCUUCUUCUGUGGCUCUUUACAGGGUGAUGUACUUUUCCCACAGGGUCCUGGGAAGAAGACUGACCAACAAGAGCACACUGCUAUUGGAAUGAUUUUCCAGAAGGUAGAGCUAAAAACAUGAGAAGUGCUGGGAAAGGAGGGGACCAGAAGCAGAUUUUCAUACAUCACAUUGGAGCCAAACAACUUUCUCUUAGCAUCUCACUUUGCCAAGUGAAACACAGAAACCAACCACAGGAACCACCAUGCAUGCACCAAAAAAUAUAUAUUGUACAGUAAAUUUAUUGCUGUAGAUAUGCAUAUUUACACACAUGCAAAAGAGGCAGAUGUUGUUCCAUGGAUGGGGAAAGCUCCAGCUUCCUACUGCCAACAGCACAUCCCUGAUUCAGCACAUAUACGGCUGAGUGCAUUAUAGAGCUGACCUAUUUAUGUUCACAUCCAGAACUUCCAUAUGAUCACUACUGUUAUUCAUUUACCUGCAGGAGACUCAUCUAAACUGGAUCUAUGAACAGACUUUUCACAGGGAAAGGCAGUAUGCCCAGCAAACCCAAAAACUUAAGGAAGUCCUGCCAUUAAUAAGUAUUCACAUUCCACUCUAUGUUACCUUCUCCAAAGCUUACAGAGCAUUAGUGUGCUGGUUUUAUCAGGAAUAAAGUUCAUUUUCUUCAUGGUAUAGUAGUUAGCAUGGGACUAUGCAUUGGUACAAGUCCAAAGUGUAGCUACUACAAAGGAAAUUGCCUCUGCCCCAGCCAAACCAGCACAAUGGCGUAGAGCAGCACAGAUAGUUAAAACAAAAGCUUUUUUCUCACUUUCUCUGAAAUAUAACCAUUUGAAAUGGCUUCCGCAAACUACAUACCCAUAGUUUUUGAAGCUGUUAGACACAGUAGUAUGAAUUCCAAGCUGUUUGCAUUUCAAGCAGAAAACAUUGCACAGCUACACCACAGUAUGCAAUUCAUCAUUUAUUUUGAUAAUCUUGAAAUAUUCUGCUUAAAAAAAAAUCUGUAAAUUUAUAUACCGGAGAUAUAUGUGGUAAUGGUUACAUAGUUUCCUAAUACUUAGAGGAAUUCCUGUUGAUGCUUGACAUAGAUGGUUCAAAGCACACCAAAACCACUGAAACAAACAGGAAACCCACUCUAGCCCAAAGCAGAAUAAGAACAGUUUUCCCAACAAAAUAGUUAUUCACUGCUUGGGACUACCCAAAGCUUAUUGUCUGUAUGACCUGUAUAUUCAGAAGUUUCCCUGUCUUAGAGAAACCACUGUGAUACCAGUUGGCUCUGAUAAAAAAAAAAAUAAAUCACAUAUUCCUUUUUAAUAAAUUGGGGAAGAUGAGCCUACUGCCACCAAUAAGCAUGUAUUUCCAGAUCAAAAAUGACAUAUCAAGGAAGUCUGUGAGAAACUUUGCCACCAGAGCAUGGAGAAACAAUCCCCAGACACAAGCGCAGCAGCUUCCUUUCAGCCAGCAAUGAACAUGACAGAAUCCUCAACAAAUCCUGAAACUGCUGAAACUAAAACAUGCAUUUUCCCAAGAUGACAUAUGAAGCUGGCAAAGUUAUCAUCUAACCAGUGCCAAGGCUCUUUUUACAACCAAGCACAGUCCAAGUUUGGUUUCCGAUCAUUUGCUAGCACUCCAGAUGAACCUACCAGCACCUUAUAGAGAAUGGAAUCCCAUUUGCUGGGCUACCAACUUCACAGCAAAAGGAACAGACCAUAGAAGCUUAGUUACGGCUCACAGUAAAGGAGUUCACUCUGCUAGCUGAAAGUGAUAAUCCUUCAUGUUGAAAAGUUUUCUAUUCCUGCAAAGUAUGGUUUCAUCAAAAUGUGAUAUAGGAAAAAUACUGAUAUUAAUAAUUUUAAUUUUCUGAUCUGACAGGACUGUAAAAAAACCCCUAGCUUUGAGCUGACAUUUAUGAAUAAAAUUCUAUGUGGCAACAAUGUUAUCUGAUGAAUGUUAUGACUUUUCUUUCAAUUAAAGUUUUACAGCUUUGU